GAGAGAGGCGAGCCGCAGCGGAGACUGCUAAUCUCCGUCUCCUUGGUUGAACUCCAGGGCUCACUCG
Molecule: transfer RNA, 67 nt
Filed under: Dissostichus mawsoni (Antarctic toothfish)
Lineage: Eukaryota; Metazoa; Chordata; Actinopteri; Perciformes; Nototheniidae
Description: tRNA-Ser
Source: RNAcentral